GCUUGUCUCAAAGAUUAAGCCAUGCAUGUCUAAGUAUAAACAACUUUGUACUGUGAAACUGCGAAUGGCUCAUUAUAUCAGUUAUAGUCUACUCGAUAGUACCUUACUACUUGGAUAACCGUGGUAAUUCUAGAGCUAAUACAUGCUAUCAAGCCCGACUUCUUGAAGGGUUGUAUUUAUUAGACUUAAGCCAAUAUUCCUUGUGUCUAUUGCGAUGAUUCAUAAUAACUGAUCGAAUCUCAAAUUUGAGAUAAAUCAUUCAAGUUUCUGCCCUAUCAGCUUUCGAUGGUAGUGUAUUGGACUACCAUGGCAGUAACGGGUAACGAAGAAUUAGGGUUCGAUUUCGGAGAGGGAGCAUGAGAAACGGCUACCACAUCUAAGGAAGGCAGCAGG
RNAcentral lists this ribosomal RNA (393 nucleotides) under uncultured Scuticociliatia. Its description in RNAcentral is "partial small subunit ribosomal RNA". It matches the Rfam family "Eukaryotic small subunit ribosomal RNA", at positions 30 to 432 of the family's 1831-position model. The record is from RNAcentral. Lineage: Eukaryota; Ciliophora; Oligohymenophorea.